AUUGAACGCUGGCGGCAGGCUUAACACAUGCAAGUCGAGCGGGGGAAGGUAGCUUGCUACCGGACCUAGCGGCGGACGGGUGAGUAAUGCUUAGGAAUCUGCCUAUUAGUGGGGGACAACAUCUCGAAAGGGAUGCUAAUACCGCAUACGUCCUACGGGAGAAAGCAGGGGAUCUUCGGACCUUGCGCUAAUAGAUGAGCCUAAGUCGGAUUAGCUAGUUGGUGGGGUAAAGGCCUACCAAGGCGACGAUCUGUAGCGGGUCUGAGAGGAUGGUCGGCCACACUGGGACUGGGACACGGCCCAGACUCCUAAGGGGGGCAGCAGUGGGGAAUAUUGGACAAUGGGGGGAACCCUGAUCCAGCCAUGCCGCGUGUGUGAAGAAGGCCUUAUGGUUGUAAAGCACUUUAAGCGAGGAGGAGGCUACUUUAGUUAAUACCUAGAGAUAGUGGACGUUACUCGCAGAAUAAGCACCGGCUAACUCUGUGCCAGCCGCCGCCGUAA
RNAcentral lists this ribosomal RNA (501 nucleotides) under uncultured bacterium. RNAcentral describes it as "partial 16S ribosomal RNA". It matches the Rfam family "Bacterial small subunit ribosomal RNA", at positions 30 to 523 of the family's 1533-position model. The record is from RNAcentral.